UACGUAGGGACCGAGCGUUGUCCGGAAUCAUUGGGCGUAAAGAGCGUGUAGGCGGCUAUUUAAGUCCUGCGUGAAAUCCUGCGGCUCAACCGCAGACGGUCGUGGGAAACUGGAUGGCUAGAGUGCGGGAGAGGAGAGUGGAAUUCCCGGUGUAGCGGUGAAAUGCGCAGAUAUCGGGGAAGAACACCCGUGGCGAAAGCGGCUCUCUGGGACGGUACUGACGCUGAGACGCGAAAGCG
This 239-nucleotide ribosomal RNA is filed under the name uncultured bacterium. RNAcentral describes it as "partial 16S ribosomal RNA". It matches the Rfam family "Bacterial small subunit ribosomal RNA", at positions 524 to 761 of the family's 1533-position model. The record is from RNAcentral.